Molecule: ribosomal RNA, 352 nt
Filed under: uncultured soil bacterium
Lineage: Bacteria
Description: bacterial SSU rRNA
Rfam family: Bacterial small subunit ribosomal RNA
Source: RNAcentral
AGAUUGAACGCUGGCGGCAGGCCUAACACAUGCAAGUCGAGCGGCAGCACGGGUACUUGUACUUGGUGGCGAGCGGCGGACGGGUGAGUAAUGCCUAGGAAUCUGCCUGGUAGUGGGGGAUAACGCUCGGAAACGGACGCUAAUACCGCAUACGUCCUACGGGAGAAAGCAGGGGACCUUCGGGCCUUGCGCUAUCAGAUGAGCCUAGGUCGGAUUAGCUAGUUGGUGAGGUAAUGGCUCACCAAGGCGACGAUCCGUAACUGGUCUGAGAGGAUGAUCAGUCACACUGGAACUGAAGACACGGUCCAGACUCCGUACGGGAGGCAAGCAGGUGGGGGAAAUUAGUUGGAAC